GAUGAACGCUGGCGGCGUGCUUGAUACAUGCAAGUCGAACGCAUCGGCAAAGCCAAGGUGUCCUGGCGGAACCGGAGGGCGAGAAAUCGUUCAAAGGGGACAAAAGGGCAAGGAGGCGGAGCUGGUGAGGGGCGGACGGGUGAGUAACACGUAGGUGAUCUGCCUCAAAGUGGGGGAUAACUGUUCGAAAGGGCAGCUAAUACCGCAUGUGGUCCUUGGGAGACCGAGGAAGAAAGGCGAGGGUCGCUUUGAGAUGAGCCUGCGGCCGAUUAGCUAGUUGGUGAGGUAAAGGCUCACCAAGGCCGAAGAUCGGUAGCUGGUCUGAGAGGAUGAUCAGCCACACUGGGAUUGAGAACGGCCCAGACUCCUACGGGAGGCAGCAGUAAGGAAUAUUGCACGAAUGGGGGAACCCUGAUGCAGCAACGCCGCGUGGGUGAAGAAGGCUUCGAGUUGUAAACCUUUCUGUGGAUGAGGAGGACAGUACCAAGGAC
RNAcentral lists this ribosomal RNA (491 nucleotides) under uncultured bacterium. RNAcentral's name for it is "bacterial SSU rRNA". It matches the Rfam family "Bacterial small subunit ribosomal RNA", at positions 28 to 464 of the family's 1533-position model. The record is from RNAcentral.